GACGAACGCUGGCGGCGUGCCUAAUACAUGCAAGUCGAACGCAUUUUCUUUCACCGUAGCUUGCUACACCGACAGACAAGGAGUGGCGAACGGGUGAGUAACGCGUGGGUAACCUACACAUCAGCGGGGGCUCACACUUGGAAACAGGUACAAAUACCGCAUACUUCCAUUUACCGCAUGGUAGGUGGGUGAAAGUCGCUUUUGAGUCACUGAUGGAUGGACCGGUGGUUCAUUAGCUAGUUGGGGGGGUAACGGCCUACCUAGGCUGUGAUGCAUACCCGAACUGAGAGGAUGAUCGGCCACACUGGGAAGGAGACGAGGCCCAGACUCGGACGUGAGACACCAGUCGGGAAUCUACGGGAAGGAACGGAAGUCUAACCGAGCAACGCCGCGAGAGUGUAGAGGGGUUUCGGAUCGUAAAACUCGGUUGUUAGAGAAGAGCAAGGAUGUGUGUGGAGAGUACAUCCCAUGACGGUAUCUAACGAGAAAGCCACGGCUAACUCCGUG
RNAcentral lists this ribosomal RNA (507 nucleotides) under uncultured bacterium. RNAcentral describes it as "partial 16S ribosomal RNA". It matches the Rfam family "Bacterial small subunit ribosomal RNA", at positions 28 to 507 of the family's 1533-position model. The record is from RNAcentral.